UUGAAGUUACAUGUAUGACUGCUGAAUGGA
This 30-nucleotide non-coding RNA is filed under the name Mus musculus (house mouse). Lineage: Eukaryota; Metazoa; Chordata; Mammalia; Rodentia; Muridae. The record is from RNAcentral.